GUGAGACCAGCAAAGAACCACUCACCUGAGCCCAGCCCAGAUUGCAGAACUGUGAGCAAAUACAUGGUUGUUAUUCAAGUAAAGCUCACUAAAGCUUUCAAUGACAAGUGGGCAUAGUCCUUAUGGCCACUUCUUGGGAUGGUUUGUUAUCCUGCAGUAGAGAACUGAGACAGAGGAAAGAGAAUUCACAGUGACUGACCCCCGCUGUGCUCCGGACCCUAUCGGGGUGCUGUGCGUGUGCUGGCUCAUCUGCUCCUCACAACCACCUGGGCUGUGGUCCCUCCUUACGGGAGAGGCUACUACAGUUCUGUGGUGAGGGAUUGGCCCCACUGCUCCACAGUCACUAAGUGGCAGAGGCAGGAUUUCAACCUGAGUCCGACUGAUUCCACGACCCACAUAAUAUCCCUACAAUGAAACAAGGAAGGAUCCCCAGAAGGUGCAGGGACCUCAGAGACUACUAAGUAGGGAUCUGAUGCAGUCUUUCCCAAGUGUCCUCACAAAUCCCACAGAGGAACUGUCAGACAGGGAAAUGAGUCUGGUGAGAAAGAUCCCUAAUGGGCACCGUCACGUCACAGCUCAAUCAUCUUCUCCCAUAAUUCCUAUGAUCCUGGGUGACCUAGAGGUAUCCUACAAGGAGGCUUACUCUGGUUUUCUGAUAGGCAUGACACUAAGAAAAUCUGAUGUGGUUAGCUCCGGGCAGUCACCACUUCUUUAUAUGUGGAUUAUCCCCCAACGAACGUCCGGCAUCUGCGGUCAUCCGGGAAUGCGUCCAGGCAAUGAUCUAGCGCUCAGAAGGAACAAGAGCUAAUUUCAACGUGGGAAGAAUCCUAAGUGACUCCAAAAAUUAUUGACCAGACGCUAAGGACUAAAGUGGAAACCUUUAUUAAUUAGAUAUGCAGAUAAAAAGGCCCAUCUUCAGAUCUGUUGUCAUUAGAGAAUUAUUUUAUACAUGGCCACAGAGCCAUUUUACAAAUGAGGAUUCAGCCUUGCCGAGGUAAACUGCUUAACCAGGAUACAUAGCAGAAUCUGAGGAGUCUCUACCACCUGGACUGAAGACUGACUUGGAUCUCGGGGCCAACAGAACUUUGUUCCAAGUUCCAAGGCCAUCGUUGGAAUCAGUGGGUCAUCAACAGCGCACUAGAGGGCACUGAGCUAAAGGUCCCUGCACAUAUGGAAGCGCACAGGGGCACGGUUUGGGAUUAUUGGGAGAAUGCAUGAGUCAAUGGCUACGGAAAAUGCUGCACACCUACUCUGUGAAGAGGGAAGCGCCAAGAACAACUGCCACUUUCAUUUGGGGUCAGGAUUCUUGAUUCCUGCUGUCUGUUGACGUCUAUAAUCUUGGUGUUAUGCUUACAAGGGAGAGCCUCAAGCAGUAUUAAGUAUAUUAUUUUAAGAAUGAUGUGGCUUCUGGCAUCAUAUUUUGAAAAUCAAAGAUUGUAAUUUUAGGGAUAAUGGAAUACUCAAAAGGGAGUAUUCUGUAAAACUGAGGGCGUAUGGUCAGCAGAGAGAUAUUCUUUACAAAUACUGGACUACGAAUUAGGAGACGACCUCAAGUCCCUCCUCCGUCAGUGAUCUUGAGCCAUUGUGGCAACACAUUCUGGGCCUUGUUCCCCCCCCAUCUGUAAAAUGGGGGUGUUUGACUCAUUGUUUCUUAACUGGGGUGAAUUCUGGAGUCACCUGGGAAGAUCCCCAAAGGCAGAAUUCUGGUUUUGUU
RNAcentral lists this long non-coding RNA (1714 nucleotides) under Equus asinus (donkey). RNAcentral describes it as "lncRNA (ENSEASG00005033985.1)". The record is from RNAcentral. Lineage: Eukaryota; Metazoa; Chordata; Mammalia; Perissodactyla; Equidae.